This is a long non-coding RNA of Bubalus bubalis (water buffalo), 397 nucleotides long. RefSeq lists it as uncharacterized. The record is from RefSeq and is a predicted model, not a curated record. The transcript has 2 exons. NCBI's taxonomy places the organism in Eukaryota, Metazoa, Chordata, Mammalia, Artiodactyla, Bovidae.
AGUGGUUGUCCGGGGUGUAGCCUGCCUUCCUGGGGAACACCCCUCUCUUCCAUUGCACAGCUUCCCCGGACAGAAAUAAAGUGUCAGGGGAGGCCGAGAAUGGAAAUAAGAGAGUGAAGAGGGAAAUCAGAGCGCGAGCUUUCAAUCACCUCUUUACCCUGCUCCCAAAUGGAAAGUGCUUUAUUCGUGCCUCCACUUUGGACGUUUGUAAAAGCAGAGAAUGACCAUCAGAGCGCACAAGCACAGUUUCAGCACUGUUGGUGUUAAGUGAUACUCUUGGGGAGAAGACAAAGCAAAGGGACUCACGUCACUUUUCCUGCCAAGCGAGGAAGAAUCAUUUUCUCCCAGAUCCAGGCAGCAUUUUCCUGUUCCUUUCUGUUGACAGCCAUUUGACUCC